This 253-nucleotide ribosomal RNA is filed under the name uncultured bacterium. RNAcentral's name for it is "partial 16S ribosomal RNA". It matches the Rfam family "Bacterial small subunit ribosomal RNA", at positions 524 to 776 of the family's 1533-position model. The record is from RNAcentral.
UACGAAGGGGGCUAGCGUUGCUCGGAAUCACUGGGCGUAAAGGGCGCGUAGGCGGCCAUUCAAGUCGGAGGUGAAAGCCCAGGGCUCAACCCUGGAAUUGCCUUCGAUACUGUUUGGCUAGGGACCGGAAGAGGUAAGUGGAACUGCGAGUGUAGAGGUGAAAUUCGUAGAUAUUCGCAAGAACACCAGUGGCGAAGGCGGCUUACUGGUCCGGUUCUGACGCUGAGGCGCGAAAGCGUGGGGAGCAAACAGG